This 255-nucleotide long non-coding RNA is filed under the name Mus caroli (Ryukyu mouse). RNAcentral's name for it is "lncRNA (MGP_CAROLIEiJ_G0004481.1)". Lineage: Eukaryota; Metazoa; Chordata; Mammalia; Rodentia; Muridae. The record is from RNAcentral.
GGCAAGCUGUCGGGGGAGUCAGUUCAAGGCUGUGUAAUCCCCAGUAUGGCCGGAGGAGAAAUGCAGCCGGCUUGAGGAGGGUCCUGUUGAGCUGAUUACCAUGAGCCGCCCCAAACCAGAACUGAUCAAGCUCUGCUGGCAGCGUCUUUAGAACUUGGGUGGCCCCAUUCGAAGCUGAAAAAAAAUCAACAAAAGGGCAAGGGUGGGGAGAUUUCAUGCACACCCUUGAAUAAAGGAGUGAUGGUUUUCAAACUC